AUUUGAUGGCGACAAUGUCUGGUAAAGAGACAUCAGAUGAUCAUUCUACUUUGGAACCUCCACUUAGUUUUGUAAGUUACUACAGUUCUGGAGAGAUAAGAUCGAUGAUAAGAGGCUGCAACCUGUAGUCACAGCAAACCUGCUAGUGAGGGUCAAUAACUCUGGUUCCUUGGACGAGAAAACGAGAAGAGUGAAGUGUAUGAGAAUAAUAGUUCUGGAGCAAAGCAUCAUCAACUACUCGAUUUCAGCCCAGAACAUAGUGGCUGCUGGGUGAUAAANN
Molecule: long non-coding RNA, 280 nt
Filed under: Nicotiana benthamiana
Lineage: Eukaryota; Viridiplantae; Streptophyta; Magnoliopsida; Solanales; Solanaceae
Description: long non-coding RNA (NBEN_LNC025337)
Source: RNAcentral